Long non-coding RNA from Anneissia japonica, 866 nucleotides. RefSeq lists it as uncharacterized. The transcript is spliced from 2 exons. The record is from RefSeq and is a predicted model, not a curated record. Lineage: Eukaryota; Metazoa; Echinodermata; Crinoidea; Comatulida; Comatulidae.
AGCUGCUUUCCAAAUUCUUUCAGCUUGACCAACUUGCUCCUCAACACUUUAAAUUCUGUUUACUGAUAUUCGCUGUGGUGAUAGUUAAUGCCGUUGCAACAUUCACUGUUGAGUGCAUCGUUGAUAAAGAAUACUUCAAAAACUUUAUCAAGCCUUGUCGAAGAAAAAAGAAGCCAAAAAAUCUUUACAAACUAAUCGAAAAAGAAAUUCAAGAAGACAAGGACUGGCCACCAAUUAAGCAAGUGUUCACAUCUAACGGAAUUCGCUGUUGAUUAUCCAAAGACGGGCAGAAUUUAGAUUUUUAUUUUUUUAAUAUUUAAUAUAUAAUAAUCAUGAAACUUAAGGUAUUCAUAAGUGUUAGGGAAUUGUUAUACAAUUGUAUGUUUGUGUUUAUCAUGACAAGUUGGAUAAAUUUAAAUAUCAUCAAUAUUUAUUUGCCAUUCUUAAAAAACAUAUUGUAGAAAAAAGAGGAGGCAAUAAACACAAACAAAUGUCUGCACUCGCUUUCCCCAAGGAAUUAGAGCAUAGCCAACACACUUAUAAGACAAAUACAGUUGAUAUUACAAAGAGUGAAUAUAAGUUUUACUGAUGGUGGUUCUUGUAACCAGGAUAUCAUAUAAUACAGUAGCAUGUAUAUGACUACAUGUUAAAUUCUGAAAGAAACACCUCCUGCAACCAACCCACCAAAACAAUCAAAUUGUUUAUAUUUAAAAACUAAGGAUUCCAAUGGAGAAAAGACAUUAAUAGUUGCUCUGAAAAUUGCCAUAAAGUAUUAAUAUGGAAAAGGAAUCUAUGAGAUGAAAUGCAUAGAAUCAAAGCAAAAAGGAUAGUCUUCCAAAAGUAUCAAUAAAUGUUGUUUGUUAGUA